UGGGGAAUAUUGAACAAUGGGCGAAAGCCUGAUGCAGCAACGCCGCGUGAGCGAUGAAGGCCUUCGGGUCGUAAAGCUCUGUCCUCAAGGAAGAUAAUGACGGUACUUGAGGAGGAAGCCCCGGCUAACUACGUGCCAGCAGCCGCGGUAAUACGUAGGGGGCAAGCGUUGUCCGGAUUUACUGGGUGUAAAGGGUGCUCAGGCGGAUUUGUAAGUCAGAGGUGAAAUCUCACAGCUUAACCGUGAAACUGCCUUUGAAACUGAGAAACUUGAGUGCAGGAGAGGAGAGUAGAAUUCCUAGUGUAGCGGUGAAAGGCGUAGAUAUUAGGAGGAAUACCCGUUGCGAAGGCGGCUCUCUGGACUGUAACUGACACUGAGGCACGAAAGCGUGGGGAGCAAACA
This 402-nucleotide ribosomal RNA is filed under the name uncultured prokaryote. RNAcentral's name for it is "bacterial SSU rRNA". It matches the Rfam family "Bacterial small subunit ribosomal RNA", at positions 355 to 774 of the family's 1533-position model. The record is from RNAcentral.